RNAcentral lists this ribosomal RNA (497 nucleotides) under uncultured bacterium. RNAcentral's name for it is "partial 16S ribosomal RNA". It matches the Rfam family "Bacterial small subunit ribosomal RNA", at positions 28 to 507 of the family's 1533-position model. The record is from RNAcentral.
GAUGAACGCUGGCGGCGUGCCUAAUACAUGCAAGUCGAGCGAACAGACGAGGAGCUUGCUCCUCUGACGUUAGCGGCGGACGGGUGAGUAACACGUGGAUAACCUACCUAUAAGACUGGGAUAACUUCGGGAAACCGGAGCUAAUACCGGAUAAUAUAUUGAACCGCAUGGUUCAAUAGUGAAAGACGGUUUUGCUGUCACUUAUAGAUGGAUCCGCGCCGCAUUAGCUAGUUGGUAAGGUAACGGCUUACCAAGGCAACGAUGCGUAGCCGACCUGAGAGGGUGAUCGGCCACACUGGAACUGAGACACGGUCCAGACUCCUACGGGAGGCAGCAGUAGGGAAUCUUCCGCAAUGGGCGAAAGCCUGACGGAGCAAUGCCGCGUGAGUGAUGAAGGUCUUCGGAUCGUAAAACUCUGUUAUUAGGGAAGAACAAAUGUGUAAGUAACUAUGCACGUCUUGACGGUACCUAAUCAGAAAGCCACGGCUAGCUACGUG